CCUACGGGUGGCAGCAGUCGAGAAUUAUUCACAAUGGGGGAAACCCUGAUGGUGCGACGCCGCGUGGGGGAAUGAAGGUCUUCGGAUUGUAAACCCCUGUCAUGUGGGAGCAAAUUAAAAAGAUAGUACCACAAUAGGAAGAGACGGCUAACUCUGUGCCAGCAGCCGCGGUAAUACAGAGGUCUCAAGCGUUGUUCGGAAUCACUGGGCGUAAGGCGUGCGUAGGCUGUUUCGUAAGUCGUGUGUGAAAGGCGCGGGCUCAACCCGCGGACCGCACAUGAUACUGCGAGACUAGAGUAAUGGAGGGGGAACCGGAAUUCGCGGUGUAGCAGUGAAAUGCGUAGAGAUCGAGAGGAACACUCGUGGCGAAGGCGGGUUCCUGGACAUUAACUGACGCUGAGGCACGAAGGCCAGGGGAGCGAAAGGGAUUAGAUACCCCUGUAGUC
RNAcentral lists this ribosomal RNA (446 nucleotides) under uncultured bacterium. RNAcentral describes it as "partial 16S ribosomal RNA". It matches the Rfam family "Bacterial small subunit ribosomal RNA", at positions 338 to 795 of the family's 1533-position model. The record is from RNAcentral.